RNAcentral lists this ribosomal RNA (269 nucleotides) under uncultured bacterium. RNAcentral describes it as "partial 16S ribosomal RNA". It matches the Rfam family "Bacterial small subunit ribosomal RNA", at positions 792 to 1055 of the family's 1533-position model. The record is from RNAcentral.
GUCCCACGCCGUAAACGAUGAUGACUAGCUGUCGGGGCGCUUAGCGUUCCGGUGGCGCAGCUAACGCGUUAAGUCAUCCGCCUGGGGGAGUACGGCCGCAAGGUUAAAAACUCAAAGAAAUUGACGGGGGGCCUGCACAAGCGGUGGAGCAUGUGGUUUAAUUCGAAGCAACGCGCAGAACCUUACCAGCGUUUGACAUGCCAGGACGGUUUCCAGAGAUGGAUCCCUUCCCUUACGGGACCUGGACACAGGUGCUGCAUGGCUGUCGU